Molecule: long non-coding RNA, 915 nt
Filed under: Setaria italica (foxtail millet)
Lineage: Eukaryota; Viridiplantae; Streptophyta; Magnoliopsida; Poales; Poaceae
Description: long non-coding RNA (SITA_LNC002610)
Source: RNAcentral
GCGCGGGGGACCGCCGGGGCAGCGACAACGCUGACGCUCCAGGGAUGACGGACCACGGCGGCGAACGCGAAGGACCCUUCAGUGAUCCCACCCCGAGGAGGAGCAGCAGGAAAGUCUACUGCUGCAGGCAGCUCACUACUACUCCUCGUAGUCCGGAAGAAAAGGAAGGGCUCCCGGGGCACGUUUUACUGCAGGCUGCUCUGGCUCAAACCCACGCCUGUCGUACGUCCUUCGCCGUCCACUAACGACCUCGACCGCGGCGAUGAGCCCUCGCCGUGACGCGAUUUCACCCGGCAGGGAACGCCAUGGCAACAACGGGCGAAGGCCGUGCCGCUGCCAGGGCCUCCAACCUCUCUCUUCUCAAGUAGUGAAGUCGAUUCAAAUCCUUACCCUGCCCUCUUCUCUUCCCCGGAUUGAGCAGGAAAUCCUAACCCUACCUAUUUGUAUUACCAUGAAUUUCAGCUUCAUAGUUGUGUUUCUUUUAGUUAAUUUUGUUUUUCUUUUGGUUGUUUCAGCGCCUUGGUAGCUCCUUUCAGCUUGCCUUUGGGGUGUCAUGUCCCUGCUAAGAUAACCGUGUUCUGGAGUCAAUAUUUAUGCUCCCAAUUUUUGUGCUUUCUCUGUUCCCCAGUUUCUAAGUGUUUUCUGGCCUGUGUGCAUGUUCAAACUGAUGUCGAAUGGCCACACGGAAAUGGCCGAGAAAGGACCGCUGUGUUGCUGUUUGCUCAAAGUCUCAGCCAAGAUAUUUGAAGACUCAUCUGUCAGUGGUCUGGAAGGCUGGAAUACUAAUUAUAUUAUCUUGAUAUCAGAGAUAGCAGUAUGCCUACUUAUUUGUGUUUUGCUCCGUUCCUCUUUCCAGCUCUAUCUUAGAGCUUUCAUCAGCAAUUGAUAACUAUCCGUAUAGGAAAAAAAACCCUG